CGCGUAGGCGGGAUGGCAAGUCGGUCGUGAAAUCCUUCGGCUCAACCGAAGAACGUCGAUCGAUACUGCUGUUCUUGAGGAUUGCAGAGGAGACUGGAAUUCCCGGUGUAGCGGUGAAAUGUGUAGAGAUCGGGAGGAACACCGGUGGCGAAGGCGGGUCUCUGGGCAAUUCCUGACGCUGAGGCGCGAAAGCGUGGGGAGCAAACGGGAUUAGAUACCCCGGUAGUCCACGCUGUAAACGAUGACGACUAGGUGUGGGGGGGGUUCAGUCCCCUCCGUGCCGCAGCUAACGCAUUAAGUCGUCCGCCUGGGGAGUACGGCCGCAAGGUUGAA
Molecule: ribosomal RNA, 333 nt
Filed under: uncultured bacterium
Lineage: Bacteria
Description: bacterial SSU rRNA
Rfam family: Bacterial small subunit ribosomal RNA
Source: RNAcentral